This 1787-nucleotide long non-coding RNA is filed under the name Cinara cedri. The record is from RNAcentral. Lineage: Eukaryota; Metazoa; Arthropoda; Insecta; Hemiptera; Aphididae.
AACCUACGGUGGAUAGGUAAUGAACAUUUAGGUGCGUACCAAUAUGAUUAUUCUUGUUUUAGUAGAUAGUCAAUUGUAGUAAGUAAUAUAUAGGAAUAGAUGAAUUCCAGGAGAUUAAAGUAAAGAAAUUAUUUACGAUAUGAGUAUUCUCGUUCGAAAAUACUUGUGUGAUUACGUUAGAAGGUUAAUACAGCUGGAACAUAACAAUAAAUAUAGGCGUUUACUUACGUUAUUCGAAGUGACGAUAGAACUUCGUAAAGCGACAACGGCGGAAUGGGUACGACACAAAGAAUAUAAUCAACUACACUGACGACUAGGGUAAGUGUCGACGGAUCGAUGAACGGAUGGAAGUAUACGCACGUAUGGAUAGCAAUAUUUGAUACCAGAGGCCCCAGGGCUUCUCAAAUUUGUAUACAACUGUUCCAAACCAAACCUUAUCACGGUUCGGUCCAUGUUCUUAAAUUAUUUGGACCAUAAGAAAUACUCGGACACAAAAUUUUUAAAUUUAAAUUCUGAAGUGAACAGCAAGCAUUAAGCAAUAAAAACACAAAUCACUAGAAUAUGUUCGCAUUUUCAAUAUAAUUUUGAGACUAUUAAGGAUAUUAAGUUUAACUUUGAAGAAUAAUUAAUAAUAAAUCUUGAAGAAUGAGAAUCAUUUUUAAUAAAUAUUAUAUUAUACUAAAAACAUACACUCUGAUAACAUAUGAAUUUGCAUGUAAGUAUAGGAAAAAUAUGGAUACCUAUUAACUCACGUAUUAUGAUUACUCUAUUACAUUAGAAUAUUUUUAAACUACGGUGGAUAGGUUAUGAACAUUUAGGUGCGUACCAAUAAGAUUAUUCUUGUUUUAGCAGAUUAUCAAUUGUAGUGGGUAAUAUAUAGGAAUAGAUGAAUUCCAGGGGAUUAAAGUAAAGAAAUUAUUUACGAUAUGAGUAUUCUCGUUCGAAAAUACUUGUGUGANUAGGAAAAAUAUGGAUACCUAUUAACUCACGUAUUAUGAUUACUCUAUUACAUUAGAAUAUUGUUAACCUACGGUGGAUAGGUAAUGAACAUUUAGGUGCGUUACCUAUAAAAUUAUUCUUGUUUUAGCAGAUUAUCAAUUGUAGUAAGUAAUAUGAAGGAAUAGAUGAAUUCCAGGAGAUUAAAGUAAAGAAAUUAUUUACGAUAUGAGUAUUCUCGUUCGAAAAUACUUGUGUGAUUACGUUAGAAGGUUAAUACAGCUGGAACAUAACAAUGAAUAUAGGCGUUUACUUACGUUAUUUGAGGUAACGAUAGAACUUCGUAAUUGACAACGGCGGAAUGGGUACAAAACAAAAAGGAAAAACAACUACACUGACCGCUAGGGUAAGUGUCGACGGAUCGAUGAACAAAUGGAAGUUUACGCACGUAUGGAUAGCAAUAUUUGACACCAGAGGCCCCAGGGCUUCCCAAAUUUCUAUAAAACUGUUCCAAACCAAACCUUAUCACGGUUCGGUCCAUGUUCUUAAAUUAUUUGGACCAUAAGAAAUACUCGGACACGAAAUUAUUAUAUUUUAAAUCUAAAGUGAACGGCAAGCAUCAAGCAAUAAAAACACAAAUCACUAGUAUAUGUUCGCAUCUUCAAUAUAAUUUUGAGACUAUUAAGGAUAUUAAGUUUAACUUUGAAGAAUAAUUAAUAAUAAAUCUUGAAGAAUGAGAAUCAUUUUAAUAAAUAUUAUAUUAUACUAAAAACAUACACUCUGAUAACAUAUGAAUUUGCAUGUAAGUAUAGGAAAAAUAUGGAUACCUAUUAACUCACGUAUUAUGAUUA